AUGUCUGUCCCACUGUCCCUCGCUGUUCCCUCAUGCAAUAAAGGGGUUUUUUAUGUGGGGAAAGAAGAGAGGGGGAAAUGGAGUCUUCUCUACCUCAAGUCCAGAGCAAAGGAAGGAGCAGUGAUGUUGGUUUGGGAUCAAGAAGCAGAAAGAGAGGUCACCAUGACUAAAGAUGCCCAAAGAGUGACGUAUACUCAGCUGAACAUAAAAACCCUAAAAAAGGAGCAAACAGAUUCCAAGAAGAAACCUAUAGAGUCCAUAGUCUAUGCCACUGUGCCAUUGGAGUGAGGAUUUCACUACCUUUCAUGAAGAAAUUCUCUCCUUUCUUCUUCUCCUCUCCCUCACUCCUAUUAACUUGCAUACCUUCCCAGGUUCCCAUCACUGAGAAGCCAUGAGGACUAUUAGGGAUAUUUACUGGGGUUGUGCAAUGUAAAGAUAAUUUUAGUAUUGUGACUUAAAAUCUAAAUUGAAUUGUUCACCAGGGAAAACCCCAAAUAAUAAAAUACCCAAGUCAGCUGGAAAUUUAUGGUGA
RNAcentral lists this long non-coding RNA (532 nucleotides) under Monodelphis domestica (gray short-tailed opossum). RNAcentral describes it as "lncRNA (ENSMODG00000045474.1)". The record is from RNAcentral. Lineage: Eukaryota; Metazoa; Chordata; Mammalia; Didelphimorphia; Didelphidae.